UGGCCUGUGCCUCUGGCCUCAGCAGUGGCUGUAGUGCUGGAGAUUUCUCCUUAAGUCCCAAAUCUGCUUUGAAUGUCCAGUUUUAAAUUCCAGUAAAGUCCCACCCCCUUUUUUUGGUUCACCCACCUUGCAAAGACGCUGCCUGUCUGCUUUCUCGGUUUCAUGUCAUGGAGGAAAGCAACCCUCUCUAUUCAGCCAUCCUCAAAGUCUCCAGAUGUGAGUUCUAAGUGAGUUGGUCCACGUGAAAUCUAGCCCAGCAUGUGAUAAGUGCUCAGUAAACGUGUUAUGACUUUAUUAUUAUCAUUUUGAUUUGUGUUUUUGCUCUUUAUGUGUCUUAUGUCACCACAUGGACCUCCAUAGCACAGUCCAGCUCGUUCAUGCCCCGAAGGGACAGCCAUGUUGCAGAUGGGGGCCACAUGAACCAUCAGAUCACCCCUUCCUUCACACAAAUGCCAGUUCCUCCGGAAGAAGCCGGUGUCACACAGCACUAUGGACACAGCCUGGGGUCUACUCUAGUUCCUCUAUCUGCCAGCUGCACGGCCUGGACCAGUCUCAAAUAUGUACAUCAGAGAGAAUCUGCAAAAUCAGCAGAAAAUCAUCAGGGACUGUCCUGCUGUCAGAAUAAGGCUGGGUUCCCAGGAGAACUAACUGGCCAAGUUUGUACAAGUCAUCCCACAUCUGCUAGUCACAACCCCCAUUGAACUUCCUUAAACUCAUUUUGUAGUUUUUGUUUUUAAUACGGCCUGAGGGAGGCUUCUGUAAUCUGUUGAGCACAGGGCCUGUGAGGGUCUCGGUGGCUGCGCUCUGAAAUGCUGCAGACCCAUGAACUCCCAUCCCCAGUAUUUCAUGAGGUGCAGUCAUUAGCUUGUUGAUCAAGUCUACCUGGGACCAAGGAUACUUUUCGCUGCCAUGAUCACUGGUCUGACAAACUUAACUUUGAUCUCAACUAUAAGCCUCAGUCUCCUCAGCAACCUGAGGGGUGGAGAGUGGAUAUAAAAUCAGGACAGGGCAAGGCCCCAAGCAGGUUCAGGGGAGGCCAGGGAGUAGCUAGGCCUGGCCAAGUCCCUCACAACUGUUCCUUGAGGUUCUGUGGCUCUAAACAGCUCACGGAAUUCAGACAGAGGCUAUGAGGGCGAGUGAGCACCUGGUCAAUGCACUGUGACACCUUUCUCCUCGGAGGCUGUGCGUAACACAGGUCCUGCCAUGGGAUGCAGCCUGAGCCCAGUGACCUGGGAGCAGGUGGGGAGGAAGAGGAAGAGAGAGGCAGAGACUAGAGAGGGACCACCUGUCAAAGCAGC
This 1298-nucleotide long non-coding RNA is filed under the name Marmota monax (woodchuck). The record is from RNAcentral. Lineage: Eukaryota; Metazoa; Chordata; Mammalia; Rodentia; Sciuridae.